GUGGUUGUAGCUCAAUGGUAGAGCACCAGCCUGUGGAGCUGGGUGUUGCGGGUUCGAAUCCCGUCAGCCACC
Molecule: transfer RNA, 72 nt
Filed under: Patescibacteria group bacterium
Lineage: Bacteria
Description: tRNA-His
Rfam family: tRNA
About the family: Transfer RNA (tRNA) molecules are approximately 80 nucleotides in length. Their secondary structure includes four short double-helical elements and three loops (D, anti-codon, and T loops).
Source: RNAcentral